GAAAAUACAAUACUAGUUGUCAAAUACUUAAGCCUUGGAGAAUUAAUCCUAUUUGAAGAUUUCAGAAAGUUUUUAGGAUUAUUUUUAUAGCAAAAUGAUACCUUCAAGCACUUUUGGUCUCCUAGAGGAUUUCUAAAGCUAUCAUUGGGGUACCCUUACAAAAUUGACAAAACCAAGCUAUAUUCUCUAGAAAUGUGUCCUUUAUUAUAAAGACUGGUUUUCAUUUGAUGAUUGGGGGAGGGUAACUGGUAUUUUUAUCAUUUCAUCAGGAAGCAAAAUUCACACUACAUUUUACAUGUAGACAGAGAUUUGGCAGGAUGAACAGAAGAAUGGAAGUUUCUUCAAGCAAGAGCCAAGCCUUCACAAUCUCCAACAGCAACUCAAACGAUUUCAAGACUGUGUGGGCAGAACAGAAGCCUGUGGGAUGGCAAUGGGUCAGAGCUGCUUAACGAACAGCGUGAAGAUGACCAAAGUUGAAAUAAGAGCCAGAAGUAAAGAUAAAAGGAGAAGUGGCAGCAUAUUGAGACCAGCUCUUCCUCUUAUCAAAGCCUACCUAAGAAAUCAUCUGCAUGGAAGAAAUCUGAGAAGACUUUCUAAGAAAAGCAUUUACCUAACUAGUGUUUACAUAUUAUCACCUCAAAAUACAUACAGCUUGUAUGUUAAUUGGCCAGGACCUGGAUAGUAGAAAAGAAUUGGGAAAACCACUCAAGAAAGGAGAAAACACAGAGACAUAGAAAUUGAAUUGCCAGCUUCCAUCUUGUUCCUCAGAUGAUGAAGUGGGCCAAUCCAGGCCUUCUCUUAUUCACUACUUCAUAACACCUGUGAGAUAUCUUACUGUCUGUGCAGCCUUGUGUUAGGAACUAGGUAUGCAAAAAUGAAUUUGAAGCAGAGGAACUUACUAGCACAUUGAUGCUAGUGAGAUGGUUAGACAAAUGGUUAGGUACUUUCCCUUGUGUUUCCCAGCCUGUCUUAAGAAAUAAGUAAAAGCUUCACAAAGAAGGGAUAUAACUCAUUGGUUUCUCACUUUCCAAAGCCACAGAGAACACAGUAAAUAGAGGUAGAUGCCUAAGAUGUACUUUGUCUUCAUUCAUGAAGUCUUUUAAAUAUUUAGGGUAAUGAUCAAUACAACUAUCUUUUGCCAAUCAAUAAAAAUAAGAUAUCACAAACACAGAACUUCUUCCCAUUUUUUUCAUUAGGGAGGAUCUACUCAGUAGCAGAACUUCUCAACGCUCACCAGCCUAAAAGUAGAUAUUCAGAGCUGCUUAGGGCAGAGAAGUUCUAAUCCUCCACCUGAAGUCAUAUGACUCAUCUGAAGCAGAAGUGGGAAGAAACAGUGAGGCCAGGAAUCUGAAAUUAUGAGCAGCAAAGAAAGUCAUAAUGAUUGUACUGAUGAGUCAUUUGCCAUCUGCUUCUCAUUCAGAAAAGAUAAGUCAAGGUACAGAUAACCAAGAGUAAAGUGUUACCAAGAAAAAGCAAAAUGGACUGUUUUUCUGGAAUGAUAGAAGGAAAGAUGAAGUACAUAAGAAGCUGUCACAAGGGGACCAAUGUAUUCAGAACCCCUCUGAGCAGGCUGGGCAGAUACAAGCUUUGUGAAACCUAACACCUGCAGUAAAUGAUAGAGAAAAGGAAAGGAGGCCUAUACUAGAGAACUAGAAGCCAAAAGACUCAGUAGGUGAGUUCCAGUUCACCAAUUCAUUCUUCCAGUCCCACUUGCUGCCUCAAUUUGCGAUACCAGAGGCAGGAAAAGGCCCUCAUGAGGCCCCACUCUGAUGAGGGAAGAGAAGCUGACAACACACAUAAGGUAUCUUUUUAUGGCUUCACUGAUUCAGCUCUCUGAUGAUCCACUGUGGCUACCUUUUUAUCCAGAAAAAAAAGAACUAUUCUAUGGAAAUGUUCUAUGUUUAGUGGAACUUCUCAUUCUGUUGCUUUUGGUUUAUAUUGCUAUUUUAGAACCUAUCACACCACAUUAUGUGGCUUUGUAUUUGUCUCUCUAACAGAUGGUAAACUGUUUGAGAGCAGGAGCAAUAGCUUAUUUAUUUGUUUCUUUAGUGCCCAGCAAAGUUCUUGCACCAGAAUAGGCAUUGAAAACAUCUUAGUAAAUUGAAGUUGACUGGGCUUCCCCCUUAUAUUUCACUGGUGGCUUGUCAUCCUAUAUAAAUAUAUUAUAGGACUUUGGUUACAAUUCCUGUACAGAAUCCUAUGAAGUUCCAUUGAGAUUUUAGCUGCUCUACUAAAAAACUUAGCUAAAGGAGGGCAGUGGAUUGCUAUUCAUUGAACAUAUAAAUUUUUAUUGAGCAUCUAUUAUAUGCUACGUACAAUUCUUGGGCUUGGGAUACAUUAGUAAACUAUGAUUCUUGCUCUUGUGGAGCCUACAUUCAAAUGGGAGGAAGAAAGAGAAAAUACAUGUAAUAAGUAAACAUGCUAGUAUGUUCAAUGAUGCAUGCCAUAGAAAAGAGAAAAAGUAGAGUAAGAAAUAUCAGUAGUACCAGGAUAUAGUGUUGAGGGUUGGUCAGUUUAAAACACUCAACAAACUAAUCAGAGUGUGCCUCAUUAAGAAGAUAAAAUUUGACCAGACUAGAAGGAGGUGGUGGAGUUUGUCAAGUGGUUAUUUGAGUAAAAAUGUAUCACAUUUUUUUCCCAGCUGCAUAGAGGACUUUGAGCCAAUGCUGCUUUGAGACUCAGAAGAUGUGGUAAGUUUGCCAAAUGGCCAUAACACUUGCUUUUGGCUCACAUGGUAAAUCCAGUGAGUAAAGUUUUAGUCAUUUUGUUACUGGUGUGUGACAUGGGAGACUGAGAACAGGAACAGAGAAAGGAGAAGCACAGAACUCAAGAAUGGGGUGGGGUUGGGAAAGAGAAGGAGUUCUACUCUGAGAUCAGGGAAGGUUCUGGAAACCUUGUGGGUAGUAUGAAGUCAAAAAGUUUGUUAUUUCCUUAAUGUUCUUCCCUGUAAUGAGUUUAAAUUCUCUAUAUUUGGCAUUUUGAACUCACAGAGCUUCUGUGCUGCUACUAAAAGACUUCUUUUUAACUGGCUUUGUCCCUUCAUUCUAUAUUUCUGUGGCAACCAAAAGAGAGCAAUCAAAACUAUAAUUUCUGGCCCAGAAAAGGGAAUUCUAGUUUUGUUCUUUUAAUCCUUGCUCUAUACUAGUCUUAUCUCAUUAUAUCUCUCUGUUCCUUGGGGCUUUUUCAACAUAGCUAAUUAAAACACAGUUGAAAAUUUAUUCAUUCUAUUAAAUAUGUUUAUUAGGUGAUUGAGAGGUUUCAGGUCCUGUCUACAUAUAAAGGACACAAAGAUGAGGACGAUGCAAUUCUAUUCCUAGUGAGAAGCCAUUCUCAAUAACUUGUUGGCAUAUUACUAGACCAGAACAUAAUGACCUCAAGUCACAGAAAAACAGAAUGUUUGUCCUAUUCUAGAAGUAAUCCAGUCAAAAAUAAUACACAUUUUUUGUCAAUGUAUCCUAAAGGAGUGAAACUUAAGAACUAAUUCAUGGUCUUACCAAUGAUUAACUACUGUCAUUGUCUUUCCCAUAAAACUCUGAAACCCUAGCAACAUUCAGCCACUCCUCCUAGUUCCUGUUAGUAAGUCUGUGUUUGACUGAAAGGGCUUAAUCACUUGCAUUUACCACCUAUUCACUUCACCACAAAAAGAGAAGAGGAUGGAAGCUUCCCAAAAGUCAAUUAGGAAGAAUUGGAAACAGUGAAGUGAGGUGAAGCCGAGUCAGGGACAGAGGACAACCUAUAAGCACAGAGAGUAGUGGCAGCCAGGUUGUCCAUGACCACAGACCUCUUGGAGUGGCUCAUUCCGACAGCGUUCUAUGUCCACUGUUGAUUCUACAGUGAGAUCUGCCCAUUUGGGGCUGGUAGUGUGACUUACGUAAGCUGGAGCUCAGUUGUCAGAGAAAUACAAGUUUGCUUCAGCCUUAUAGGUCUUAAGUAAAGAAUACCCCGAAAUUCAAACAGCACAAUAUGUCAACCACAUGCACGUGAUGUUUGGCAUCAUACAGAAUGUUUUUGCAUUGAUGAACAGGUGGCUGCUAACUUGAAAAGGGAUUUCUCUUCUGCAGUGGGAAUUAUAGAUGGGGAGAAGAGGAGGAGAAAAUAAGCCUAUCCUUCACAGACUGCUCCCUUUGCUUUACUCUUUCAGGAGACUCAUCAUUCUCCAGAGGAUUCUAUUUCACCUUUGUUUAAUUGCUGGGCCUCUCCUGUUUCCAUACCCAGAUGAAGUAUUCUUGGAAUUUAAGGUGUCACUUUAGUAGCCUAGCCACAAGUUCCAUGCUCUUUCCUCUGCUCCACUCUUGCUCUUGAAUAAUACUUCUCCUUUGAUACUAAUUUCAGUGUCCUGGUCGAAGCCCCAGAGAAAAUACGGAGCCCUCUGCCCCUGCAUAUCUUUACAGAAGAAG
Molecule: long non-coding RNA, 4397 nt
Filed under: Canis lupus familiaris (dog)
Lineage: Eukaryota; Metazoa; Chordata; Mammalia; Carnivora; Canidae
Description: lncRNA (ENSCAFG00000057558.1)
Source: RNAcentral